AAUUAUUAUUUUACCAUUUUCGUUGGUUUAAAGUUUGAACUCUGGACUUGGUAAAUUAAAUCCUCAAUUUUAUGUUGAUUUUCAAUUUAAAUUCUCGUUAACUAAGCCAAUUGAGGCACAAA
Molecule: small RNA, 122 nt
Filed under: Arabidopsis thaliana (thale cress)
Lineage: Eukaryota; Viridiplantae; Streptophyta; Magnoliopsida; Brassicales; Brassicaceae
Description: ATSL182280
Source: RNAcentral